CGGUAAUACGGAGGAUCCAAGCGCCGCAUAAGGCUGCCAAACCCGGGAAAUCCGUAGGCGGUCAGAUAAGUCAGUGGUGAGAGCUUAUCGCUCAACGGUGGAACGGCCAUUGAUACUGUCUGACUUGAAUUAUUAGGAAGUAACUAGAAUAUGUAGUGUAGCGGUGAAAUGCUUAGAGAUUACAUGGAAUACCAAUUGCGAAGGCAGGUUACUACUAAUGGAUUGACGCUGAUGGACGAAAGCGUGGGUAGCGAACAGGAUUAGACACCCUGGUAGUCCACGCCGUAAACGAUGGAUACUAGCUGUUGGGAGCAAUCUCAGUGGCUAACUCGGCGUGAUAAGUAUCCCACCUACGGAGUACGUUCGCAAGAAUGAA
RNAcentral lists this ribosomal RNA (376 nucleotides) under uncultured bacterium. RNAcentral's name for it is "bacterial SSU rRNA". It matches the Rfam family "Bacterial small subunit ribosomal RNA", at positions 518 to 898 of the family's 1533-position model. The record is from RNAcentral.